This 219-nucleotide long non-coding RNA is filed under the name Ananas comosus (pineapple). Its description in RNAcentral is "long non-coding RNA (ACOM_LNC014336)". Lineage: Eukaryota; Viridiplantae; Streptophyta; Magnoliopsida; Poales; Bromeliaceae. The record is from RNAcentral.
UGGCCUGUAAGGCUGUAUCACGAAUUCAGGAUAGGGUUCAAGACAAUGGAAUGAGAUACCAUCACCUAAGGGUGUAAUGUGGGUCGUGCCGGGCAGGCACGGCCCACAUUAGUCGGACCGAAACGGGCCACGGGGCGGCCCGGCACGGCCUGUUGUCAAAUCCAGGUCGGGCCGUGCCGGGCCAGAGCUAACCAGCUCCCGGCGUGCUGGGCCGGGCGG